GGGGUACUCGAGUGGCGAACGGGUGAGUAACACGUGAGUAACCUACCCUUGACUUUGGGAUAAUUUCAGGAAACUGGGGCUAAUACCGGAUAGGAGCUCCUGCUGCAUGGUGGGGGUUGGAAAGUUUCGGCGGUUGGGGAUGGACUCGCGGCUUAUCAGCUUGUUGGUGGGGUAGUGGCUCACCAAGGCUUUGACGGGUAGCCGGCCUGAGAGGGUGACCGGCCACAUUGGGACUGAGAUACGGCCCAG
RNAcentral lists this ribosomal RNA (249 nucleotides) under uncultured Actinomycetales bacterium. RNAcentral's name for it is "partial 16S ribosomal RNA". It matches the Rfam family "Bacterial small subunit ribosomal RNA", at positions 84 to 334 of the family's 1533-position model. The record is from RNAcentral. Lineage: Bacteria; Bacillati; Actinomycetota; Actinomycetes; Actinomycetales.